CUUUUAGACCACCCUGGAGGAGCUUGCUAUCAAACCGAUAACCCACGAAAAACCUCACCAACUUUUGAAAAAACAACUUGUAUACCAUCGUCGUCAGCUUACCUCUUAAGAGAAGUAUGCUUAAUGAACCUUUUCUUCCUAACGUCAGAUCAAGGUGCAGUUAAUAAGUUGGGGAUUAGUGAGCUACAAUAACUUCUUUACAAAUAUGAAAAACUUUAUGAAACAAAAGUUUGAAACAGGAUUCAGCAGUAAUUUUUAAAAUAAAAUAGAAAUGAAGCUUGCUCUAAAAUGCGU
This 294-nucleotide ribosomal RNA is filed under the name Gephyreaster swifti. Its description in RNAcentral is "partial 12S ribosomal RNA". Lineage: Eukaryota; Metazoa; Echinodermata; Asteroidea; Valvatida; Goniasteridae. The record is from RNAcentral.